Molecule: unclassified non-coding RNA, 253 nt
Filed under: uncultured Chitinophagales bacterium
Lineage: Bacteria; Pseudomonadati; Bacteroidota; Chitinophagia; Chitinophagales
Description: contains 16S-23S intergenic spacer region
Rfam family: Bacterial small subunit ribosomal RNA
Source: RNAcentral
UACGGAGGGUGCAAGCGUUAUCCGGAUUCACUGGGUUUAAAGGGUGUGAAGGCGGGUAUUUAAGUCAGUGGUGAAAUCUCCGAGCUCAACUCGGAAACUGCCAUUGAUACUAUUUAUCUUGAAUAUUGUUGAGGUAGGCGGAAUAUGUCAUGUAGCGGUGAAAUGCUUAGAUAUGACAUAGAACACCGAUUGCGAAGGCAGCUUGCUAAACAAUGAUUGACGCUGAGGCACGAAAGCGUGGGGAUCAAACAGG